UCAUUAGAUACCACCGCCCGUCACACCAUGAGAGUCGAUAACACCCGAAGCCUGUGAGCUAACCGCAAGGGGGCAGCAGUCGAAGGUGGGGUUGAUGAUUGGGGUGAAGUCGUAACAAGGUACC
Molecule: ribosomal RNA, 124 nt
Filed under: uncultured bacterium
Lineage: Bacteria
Description: partial 16S ribosomal RNA
Rfam family: Bacterial small subunit ribosomal RNA
Source: RNAcentral